RNAcentral lists this unclassified non-coding RNA (324 nucleotides) under uncultured fungus. RNAcentral's name for it is "partial contains 5.8S ribosomal RNA, internal transcribed spacer 2, and large subunit ribosomal RNA". The stretch from base 1 to 52 matches the Rfam family "5.8S ribosomal RNA", at positions 103 to 154 of the family's 154-position model. The record is from RNAcentral. Lineage: Eukaryota; Fungi.
AACGCACCUUGCACCCUUUGGUAUUCCGAAGGGUAUGCCUGUUUGAGUGUCAUUUAAUCCUCAACCUCGGAAGGCUUGCGCUUUCUUGAGGCUUGGACUGUGGGGGGUUCUGCGGGCUGCUUCACGGCGGUCGGCUCCCCUGAAAUGCAUUAGCUGGGGUCUUAAGUCCCUUGCCCAUUGGUGUGAUAAAUGUCAUCGCCGACUGGGUCCAAGGCUUUUUAUAAUUGGGCCCUGCUUCCAAUCGUCUCUGGACAACCUCGCUUCAGAGGUUCUAUCCCUGACUAUUGUGACCUCAAAUCAGGUAGGACUACCCGCUGAACUUAA